GUGCUUCCCAAUUAAAGUUCAAUUCUGAAAAUUUCAGGAUUUUGGACACUUUUUGACUUAUUUUCGAGAAAUUUUUGGUUAACUAAACGCAGAAAAGCAUUGGCCAAAUGAAUUCAAUGCGAAGUUUAAUUUUCAAGUGUACUUCCUGGGGUUUUUUGAUUUGUUCUUUUCUUGGGAAAAUUGAUUAUUACGACUAUGAGGAAAUUAUUAUGCGGUUCAAGGUACUAAACACCUGCCACCUUCACGACUGGUCACCAACUAUAGCGCAAUACACGGUUUGAAGAACUUUUACAACCAUGUAUGCAGCUGGCUUACAGUACAUGCUCAAUUUUGAGAACUGGCUCACCAUCUCCACGGAUACCUGAGACCAGACUCGAUUUUGCAAACCUCGUUGCGUAAACUUCAACCAAACAUCAACUUUUUGUUCCGGAACUUCAAACUUUAACAACUUUUGCCAACUCUGGGCUUAAAAUUGGGUCCUGCCUGCUGCAGUUUUGACCCGGAGUCCUGGAUGCACCCAACUACGUUAGCAUGGAGCUGUAAUGUACAGUAUUGGACGACGUAGCACUCUAAAAGAAUUGUUUACAGAGGAAACUAUUAGGCCGAUAACAUCGCACCUUACUCCAACAACGCGCGCUCUUUUAACUUCCACAACUCACCGUCAGCUCUGCUCUGUACUAAAUCCAGCUGAAGUCUUCACUGAUGAACCUGGAACAUCCGCUGAACAGCAUGCAACCAGUUCGGUGUUCUACGAUCAACGUGUACUAACAACAGAAUCACGUGUCGCGUUAUUUGAAUUGUAAUUUUAUAAAAUUUAAAAAGAACUAAGUACGGAAGCAGAUUUUAAACUGAAAAUCAAUUUGUUAUUCUAGUUAGGGCAUUCCGCCUUGUUUUAACGACUAAAUCGUAAUUGUAAAAUCCUAGGUAGGUGUGAAAGCGCGAUAAAAUUUGUUAAAUUACUAGAUUUGCACAUUCUCAAGUGAGAAAUUGAUUAGAAAAACCUAUAAAUUUGUUCAUGCAUCCUAAAGGUGCAGAAAAUAGCUAUAAAUUGGAAAAA
Long non-coding RNA from Culex quinquefasciatus (southern house mosquito), 1057 nucleotides. RefSeq lists it as uncharacterized. NCBI's taxonomy places the organism in Eukaryota, Metazoa, Arthropoda, Insecta, Diptera, Culicidae. The record is from RefSeq and is a predicted model, not a curated record. The transcript has 4 exons.